GGGACGAACGCUGGCGGCGUGCUUAACACAUGCAAGUCGAGCGGUAAGGCCUUUCGGGGUACACGAGCGGCGAACGGGUGAGUAACACGUGGGUGAUCUGCCCUGCACUUCGGGAUAAGCCUGGGAAACUGGGUCUAAUACCGGAUAUGACCUCCUAUCGCAUGGUGGGUGGUGGAAAGAUUUAUCGGUGCAGGAUGGGCCCGCGGCCUAUCAGCUUGUUGGUGGGGUAAUGGCCUACCAAGGCGACGACGGGUAGCCGACCUGAGAGGGUGGCCGGCCACACUGGGACUGAGACACGGCCCAGACUCCUACGGGAGGCAGCAGUGGGGAAUAUUGCACAAUGGGCGAAAGCCUGAUGCAGCGACGCCGCGUGAGGAUGACGGCUCGGGUUGUAAACCUCUUUCAGCAGGACGAAGCGCAAGUGACGGUACCUGCAGAAGAAGCGAACCGGCUAACUACGUGCCAAGCCGAGACCGC
Molecule: ribosomal RNA, 477 nt
Filed under: uncultured soil bacterium
Lineage: Bacteria
Description: bacterial SSU rRNA
Rfam family: Bacterial small subunit ribosomal RNA
Source: RNAcentral